ACUCGAGUGGCGAACGGGUGAGUAACACGUGGGUGAUCUGCCCUGCACUUCGGGAUAAGCCUGGGAAACUGGGUCUAAUACCGGAUAGGAGCCAUUUUUAGUGUGAUGGUUGGAAAGUUUUUUCGGUGUAGGAUGAGCUCGCGGCCUAUCAGCUUGUUGGUGGGGUAAUGGCCUACCAAGGCGGCGACGGGUAGCCGGCCUGAGAGGGUGGACGGCCACAUUGGGACUGAGAUACGGCCCAG
This 242-nucleotide ribosomal RNA is filed under the name uncultured Actinomycetales bacterium. RNAcentral describes it as "partial 16S ribosomal RNA". It matches the Rfam family "Bacterial small subunit ribosomal RNA", at positions 89 to 334 of the family's 1533-position model. The record is from RNAcentral. Lineage: Bacteria; Bacillati; Actinomycetota; Actinomycetes; Actinomycetales.